This 408-nucleotide ribosomal RNA is filed under the name uncultured bacterium. RNAcentral describes it as "partial 16S ribosomal RNA". It matches the Rfam family "Bacterial small subunit ribosomal RNA", at positions 29 to 526 of the family's 1533-position model. The record is from RNAcentral.
AGUGAACGCUGGCGGCGUGCCUAAUACAUGCAAGUCGAACGGAGUGGCGCACGGGUGAGUAAUAUAUAGCUAAUCUGCCCCUUGCUGGAGGACAACAGUUAGAAAUGACUGCUAAUACCCCAUAGGAAGGGAUGAGGCUAUAUCGUAUCAGCUGGUCGGUGGGGUAACGGCCUACCGAGGCUAUGACGCGUAACUGGUCUGCUGGGAUGCUCAGUCACAUUGGAACGGAGACAAGGUGCAAACUCCUGCGGGAAGCAGCAGUAGGGAAUAUUGCGCAAUGGGGGAAUCCCUGACGGAGCAACGGCACGUGGAGGAUGACACUUGUCGGAGCGUAAACUCCUGUUUUUAGGGAAGCGGUACCUGACGAAUAAGCACCGGCUAACUCCGUGCCAGCAGCCGCGGUAAUUC